ACCUGGAGAUAGCUGGUUCUCUCCGAAAUAGCUUUAGGGCUAGCCUCAAGUGAUGAUUAUUGGAGGUAGAGCACUGUUUGGACGAGGGGCCCCUCUCGGGUUACCGAAUUCAGACAAACUCCGAAUGCCAAUUAAUUUAACUUGGGAGUCAGAACAUGGGUGAUAAGGUCCGUGUUCGAAAGGGAAACAGCCCAGACCACCAGCUAAGGUCCCAAAAUAUAUGUUAAGUGGAAAAGGAUGUGGCGUUGCCCAGACAACUAGGAUGUUGGCUUAGAAGCAGCCAUCAUUUAAAGAGUGCGUAAUAGCUCACUAGUCGAGUGACACUGCGCCGAAAAUGUACCGGGGCUAAACAUAUUACCGAAGCUGUGGAUUGUCCUUUGGACAAUGGUAGGAGAGCGUUCUAAGGGCGUUGAAGCAUGAUCGUAAGGACAUGUGGAGCGCUUAGAAGUGAGAAUGCCGGUGUGAGUAGCGAAAGACGGGUGAGAAUCCCGUCCACCGAUUGACUAAGGUUUCCAGAGGAAGGCUCGUCCGCUCUGGGUUAGUCGGGUCCUAAGCUGAGGCCGACAGGCGUAGGCGAUGGAUAACAGGUUGAUAUUCCUGUACCACCUAUAAUCGUUUUAAUCGAUGGGGGGACGCAGUAGGAUA
Molecule: ribosomal RNA, 645 nt
Filed under: Staphylococcus aureus
Lineage: Bacteria; Bacillati; Bacillota; Bacilli; Caryophanales; Staphylococcaceae
Description: partial 23S ribosomal RNA
Rfam family: Bacterial large subunit ribosomal RNA
Source: RNAcentral